This 223-nucleotide unclassified non-coding RNA is filed under the name Ascomycota sp. RNAcentral's name for it is "partial contains small subunit ribosomal RNA, internal transcribed spacer 1, and 5.8S ribosomal RNA". The stretch from base 1 to 47 matches the Rfam family "Eukaryotic small subunit ribosomal RNA", at positions 1785 to 1831 of the family's 1831-position model. Lineage: Eukaryota; Fungi; Ascomycota. The record is from RNAcentral.
AAAGUCGUAACAAGGUUUCCGUAGGUGAACCUGCGGAAGGAUCAUUAGAGGGGGGCUAUGCCCCGUAAAAAAGAACCACCCUUGCCCUUACGAGAACCGUAAGUGUUUCCUCGGCGGUCGUCGGCCGCCAAUGGGGAUCAACCAAACGCUUUGCAAUGAGCAGUGACCGUCUGACCAACCCCCAAAAUUAUCACAACUUUCAACGAUGGAUCUCUUGGCUCUG